GAGUGGAGAAUAAAGGGUCAGCAUAUGAAGGUACAGACUCUGAUGUUGUUCCAAGUGAUGAAGCCACUAUGAUUGGUGAUGCCCCAUAUUUUGCACACACUACAUAUGACAGAGACAACCCUGACAUAAAAGAAGGAUCAACAUUUGCUGAUAAAGAUGCAUUCAUGCUGAUUAUGAAACAAUAUGCCGUAAAAAGGGAGUUUCAUAUAAUGGUAGUGCAUAGUGACAAAUCAAGGUAUAGAGCAAGAUGUGCAGACUUACAGUGUGAAUGGAAAGUGUAUGCAAAGAAACUUCUUGGCUGCCCUACAUUCAUGUGGACACAAUUAGAGGGCUCAUCAUGGAAAAGAUAGCGAUGAGGUAGCACAUAGCCGACCGACUUGAAGGGCCAAUUCUUCCUAGUGUUAUCAAUGAGCUGAAAAUGAAGAGUAGAAACUUGAAGUACACGAUUAGGCGGAGUGGUGGACUAAAGGCUGAGGUAUCUGGAUUGACCAAGGACAACUAUCCUUGGAGGCAUGCUGUGGAUCUUGAGAUGAAAACAUGCUCAUGCGGCCAGUGGCAGAUUUCUGUUAAACCUUGCACCCAUGCUAUCUCUUUCAUAGGUUCGCUGAGAAAGGUUAAACUAGAGGACUAUGUGCAUGAUUACUACUCACUUGAGCAUUUCAAGGCUACAUAUCAGUUUGUGGUAAAUCCAAUGGUUGAUGUCAGAGUGGCGUGUGGGUGAUCCUGGAUUUGAGAUGUUGCCUCCAAAGCUAGAAAGGUCAGCAGGUAGGCCAAGAGUGAAAAGAAUCAAGAAUAGAGGUGAGCCAGGUAAAAGAGGACCUUACUAAUGCAAAAGAUGUUUUCAGUUUGGACAUAUUGAGAAGGGAUGCCGUGAGCCCCCUACAGAACUUGGUGCUGAAUUACCACCUUCACUUCCUGACAAAUCUAGGUAAACUAAAACUCCCUUUAUUUUUGGGGUUACUUUUGUUACUAUGAUUUCUAUGUAAGGCUGCAUAAUGGCUUACUUCUGUUGUGUAGGAAAAGGAAAGGAGAGACUUCAAAAUCCAAGAAAGGAUCCAAGAAAACUUCAAAGAAGACCAAGAAGGCUAGUGCAUCAAGCACCUCUACUUCGUUAGUACCUCAAGAACCAGCUACCACCUCCACUUCUUUGGUCACUCAAGUACCAGUUAGUCCAGGACCAAUAAUAAGAAGGAUGGCUGCUUCUACUUCUACUCCAACAAGACCAUUCACCAUUGAGUCCAGGACCUACAACUAGAAGAAUGGCUGCACAGUUAGACAUAUCACUAGGAGGUAUUGCUAGGAGGCACAUCAUAAGCUAGUCCUUGAAAAAAUGUUGCUGCUAUGUUCUUUUGUUCAGUGCAAAGUAGUCUGAUCCUAAAUUAGACCUUUGUUGGAAGUGUUGAUGUGUUGAAAUAACCGUGUAUUGCACUGUUGGUAUGGUCAAAUUAGACUGGGUUCUUGCUGUUUCAAUUCUGUAAGAUAUUGAACCACUUGUAUGCUUAAAUUAGUUCCAAAACAGUAUGCUUUUGGAUCUGAUGACAUUAAGCACCUGUUGCUGUUGGUGUUACCA
Panicum virgatum (switchgrass) is the source of this 1570-nucleotide long non-coding RNA. RefSeq lists it as uncharacterized. NCBI's taxonomy places the organism in Eukaryota, Viridiplantae, Streptophyta, Magnoliopsida, Poales, Poaceae. The record is from RefSeq and is a predicted model, not a curated record. The transcript has 2 exons.